RNAcentral lists this long non-coding RNA (285 nucleotides) under Brassica napus (rape). RNAcentral's name for it is "long non-coding RNA (BNAP_LNC005743)". Lineage: Eukaryota; Viridiplantae; Streptophyta; Magnoliopsida; Brassicales; Brassicaceae. The record is from RNAcentral.
AUAGAUUGUCGGUGUGGGCAGUUUAGCGAGGCUCUCGUUGAGCCUGUGAUUUGAGGGCAGUAUCAUAUAUGACGGGAUGAAAACGUCUUACAAACAUUUUUCUAACUUCAUUCUUUUUUUACCUAAACUUUGUUUGAAAACAUAAUAUUUAUUUAAUCUGUUCUUAUUUUUAUUUUAUUACUUCAAAAAUGAAGUAAAUAUGUUUCUAUAUAUGUUUUAUUUAUCACUCUAUUUUUCACUUUAAAAAUAACAAAAUUAAAAUUAAAUUUGAACUUUAUUUUAAAG